RNAcentral lists this long non-coding RNA (200 nucleotides) under Elaeis guineensis (African oil palm). RNAcentral's name for it is "long non-coding RNA (EGUI_LNC060108)". The record is from RNAcentral. Lineage: Eukaryota; Viridiplantae; Streptophyta; Magnoliopsida; Arecales; Arecaceae.
GGAGUCUGGAUGAAGUUUACCAUUAGUCGAGGUCGGGGAUGAAGUCCGGCUCCUAUAGGAGUUCGGGCGGAGUCUUCCCGUAGCCAGAGUUGGAGACGAGGUCUGGCUCCCGUAAGAGUCUGGGUGAAGUCUACCUGCAAUUAGAAUCAGGGACGAAGUCCGGCUCCCGUGGGAGUCCGGACGAAGUUUACCAUUAGUCG